CGGCAGGCCUAACACAUGCAAGUCGAGGGGCAUCGGGAUUGAAGCUUGCUUCAAUUGCCGGCGACCGGCGCACGGGUGCGUAACGCGUAUGUAACCUACCUAUAACAGGGGCAUAACACUGAGAAAUUGGUACUAAUUCCCCAUAAUAUUCGGAGAGGCAUCUCUCCGGGUUGAAAACUCCGGUGGUUAUAGAUGGACAUGCGUUGUAUUAGCUAGUUGGUGAGGUAACGGCUCACCAAGGCAACGAUACAUAGGGGGACUGAGAGGUUAACCCCCCACACUGGUACUGAGACACGGACCAGACUCCUACGGGAGGCAGCAGUGAGGAAUAUUGGUCAAUGGACGCAAGUCUGAACCAGCCAUGCCGCGUGCAGGAAGACGGCUCUAUGAGUUGUAAACUGCUUUUGUACGAGGGUAAACUCACCUACGUGUAGGUGACUGAAAGUAUCGUACGAAUAAGGAUCGGCUAACUCCGUGCCAGCAGCCGCGGUAAUACGGAGGAUUCAAGCGUUAUCCGGAUUUAUUGGGUUUAAAGGGUGCGUAGGCGGUUUGAUAAGUUAGAGGUGAAAUCCCGGGGCUCAACUCCGGAACUGCCUCUAAUACUGUUAGACUAGAGAGUAGUUGCGGUAGGCGGAAUGUAUGGUGUAGCGGUGAAAUGCUUAGAGAUCAUACAGAACACCGAUUGCGAAGGCAGCUUACCAAACUAUAUCUGACGUUGAGGCACGAA
Molecule: ribosomal RNA, 727 nt
Filed under: uncultured Bacteroidales bacterium
Lineage: Bacteria; Pseudomonadati; Bacteroidota; Bacteroidia; Bacteroidales
Description: bacterial SSU rRNA
Rfam family: Bacterial small subunit ribosomal RNA
Source: RNAcentral